ACGAACGCUGGCGGCAGGCCUAACACAUGCAAGUCGAACGCUCCAGCAAUGGAGAGUGGCAGACGGGUGAGUAACGCGUGGGAACCUUCCCAGUGGUACGGAAUAGCCCAGGGAAACUUGGGGUAAUACCGUAUAAGCCCCUAGGGGGAAAGAUUUAUCGCCAUUGGAUGGGCCCGCGUCGGAUUAGCUAGUUGGUGAGGUAACGGCUCACCAAGGCGACGAUCCGUAGCUGGUCUGAGAGGAUGAUCAGCCACACUGGGACUGAGACACGGCCCAGACUCCUACGGGAGGCAGCAGUGGGGAAUAUUGGACAAUGGGCGAAAGCCUGAUCCAGCCAUGCCGCGUGAGUGACGAAGGCCUUAGGGUUGUAAAGCUCUUUUGGCGGGGACGAUAAUGACGGUACCCGCAGAAUAAGCUCCGGCUAACUUCGU
This 431-nucleotide ribosomal RNA is filed under the name uncultured bacterium. Its description in RNAcentral is "bacterial SSU rRNA". It matches the Rfam family "Bacterial small subunit ribosomal RNA", at positions 29 to 506 of the family's 1533-position model. The record is from RNAcentral.